This is a long non-coding RNA of Canis lupus familiaris (dog), 961 nucleotides long. RefSeq lists it as uncharacterized. The transcript is spliced from 2 exons. The record is from RefSeq and is a predicted model, not a curated record. NCBI's taxonomy places the organism in Eukaryota, Metazoa, Chordata, Mammalia, Carnivora, Canidae.
GACAGCCGCGUCAGGGGGGCUCUUCCGCCUCCUCAGGCACAGCUCCCCCGGGAGAGGCUCCGGCCGCCCCCGCCGUCCGUUCGAGCUUUGCGCCGCGCCUGAGGCGCUCCUGCGCUGAGACCGGCUCCCUUCGGAAGUCGAAACCAGCCCCGUCAGGUAUGAGGCUGGAACGCGGCCACGAGUAAGCCCGAGUAAGGUCAGCAGCUUGAGAGCGGCGGUCGAUGUGGAGGGAUUGCGAGGUGGAGGCGGCGGCAGGAGCUCAAUCGAACACGUCCAGCCGCUUCCCCCUCCUCUGUACGACUAUUCCACCCGCCGCCGGCCCCAAUAUGGCGUCAAUAACAACGCCGCCGAUUCAAAUUCUGCGGCCUCAGGGCGCGUGCGCACAGGGGUGGCUACCCCGCAGGCGCAUUCUGGGAGUUGUCGUUUUUCACUGUGGAAGGGAAUCGGCGUGAAAAGCGAUUAGGGAGGAGUCACGAAAACUACGAUUCCCGUCAUUCAAGGCGCGGCAUUCCGAGUUCCGGGUUGGAAUUUAAAUCCCCUACACGGCUUGAGUGUAAAAGGAGCUAAGCAAAAGGGGAAAAGAGAAAAGCCUGGGAGAGACUGGAAGAGAGGAAAGCCAACUGAUGCAGAAAAUAGGCUUAAAAGACCUUGAAAAUUCAGGACAUAGUUGUCCUGAUACCAUUCCCACAGUGAUUUAACAAAUGGGAAAUAGAAAACUUAGCCAACCCAACAGUUCAAGACAGAUUAAUUUCGAAAGGGGAAAUUUGGAAACAGACAAGCAUGAAAACAUGAAGAUGCAUCUAUAAACCAAGAAAAGGCAAAAUGGCCAGCAAAUUACCAGAAGUUAGGAGAGAAGCAUGGAACAGAUUCCCAGAGUCCACAGAAGGAACCAACGCUGCAGAUACCUUGCUCUCAGAUUUCUAGCCUCCUGAACUGAGAUAAAUACAUUUCUGCUGUUUAA